Bos taurus (domestic cattle) is the source of this 1380-nucleotide long non-coding RNA. NCBI's taxonomy places the organism in Eukaryota, Metazoa, Chordata, Mammalia, Artiodactyla, Bovidae. The record is from Ensembl.
CCACUGGAGAUCAGCCCUGCUAGGGAAUUCUGGGCUACAGAGUAGAACAUUUUCAGAGUGAUUCUUCCACUGAAAGGGCAGGAUGUGCAAGCGGUUACUAACAGAUUCCUCAUCCGUUAUUGGCUGAUACUGCUUUGGGGAGAUUAACUCUACUUUUCCUGCUUGUCUGAGCUCAGGUUGAUCACGCGCUGUAGGUGCUUGUCAUAGCAGACCUCAGAGUUAGAGAUGAGAAGCAAGAAAGAAAAGCAGGCCAGCCCUUGAGACAGCCCCGGUUUGGGCUUCUUGUUGUUCAGUCGCUAAGUCAUGUCCGACUCUUUUCGACCCCAUGGACUGCAGCACUCCAGGGAGAGAAUUUCACAGCUCAUUGACUGCUCUGACUCCUAAUCUACACCGGAGGAAACAAUGUUGCAGCUCAUCAAAUGCAAUCAGCUGCUAAUUGAAAGGAAAUGGAAUUUUACAAUUACAGGCCACCUUUCAGUGCUCAGGAUUUCUAAGCCUUCUCCCCACCCUCCUUGGCCAGCUCAGCACUGGCAGGAGCACUUGACAACCUGCUGGAGACUUCCCUGAGAACUGCAUUUAGGAUCUGGCCCAGAGCCGCAAAAAGGGAAGCAGCAUCCUUGCCAGUUCCUAGACUGUCCUUCAAGGCUCAGUGCAAAGGGAAGAGGCUGGGGUUGGGCAUCCACAGACCUAAGUGAGUGUGCUGGCUCACCUUCCCGCCGCCCCUUUGACUUGAACAAGGUAUGCCCUUGUUCUUCCCCGAGCCCCACUUUCCUUCUCUCCAAAAUCAAGAUUUAAUGAUUUCCAAGGUUCUCAUUGGGCUUCCUUGGUGGCUCAAUGGUAAAGAAUCUGCCUGCAAUGCUGGAGAAAUGGGUUCAAUUACUGGGUUGGAAAGAUUCGCUGGAGAAGGAAAUAGCAAUCCGCACCAGUAUUCUUGCCUGGAAAAUCGCAUGGACAGAGGAGUCUGGAAGGCUACAGUCCAUGGGGUUGCAAAAGAGUCAGACAUGACUGAGCAACUAAACAACAAAACAACAGAGCUUAUUAGCUCCGAGGAUUCUGUUCACCCUAUUCCUGCUACUAUUCCCAUCCAGUGGACAACAUCUAAGUGGACAUACUCUUGCUGGCCCAGAUAUCUGCUUUUGCAAAUGCUACCAGGGAAAACACUUUCACAACUAGGAGGAGGCAGAAAAUGCUUUCCAAGCGUUCCUCAAAUCCUGACUUUUAUGCUGCAGGAAUUAACAAACGUAUUUCUUGUUGGCAAAAUUGUACUGAUUGUAAUGGAUUCUAUUUUGGUUAAUAAAGAUAUGCUUGAGCCUAGUUAUAAUGAUUUAAAAAUCCACAGUCUGAAACAGCAAUUACUUUUGUACCAAUAUAAUAUUUAUC